GACGAACGCUGGCGGCGUGCUUAACACAUGCAAGUCGAACGGAAAGACCCUGCUUUUGUGGGGUGCUCGAGUGGCGAACGGGUGAGUAACACGUGAGUAACCUGCCCUUGACUUUGGGAUAACUUCAGGAAACUGGGGCUAAUACCGGAUAGGAGCUCCUGCUGCAUGGUGGGGGUUGGAAAGUUUCGGCUGUUGGGGAUGGACUCGCGGCUUAUCAGCUUGUUGGUGGGGUAGUGGCUUACCAAGGCUUUGACGGGUAGCCGGCCUGAGAGGGUGACAGGCCACAUUGGGACUGAGAUACGGCCCAGACUCCUACGGGAGGCAGCAGUGGGGAAUAUUGCACAAUGGGCGGAAGCCUGAUGCAGCAACGCCGCGUGCGGGAUGACGGCCUUCGGGUUGUAAACCGCUUUCGCCUGUGACGAAGCGUGAGUGACGGUAAUGGGUAAAGAAGCACCGGCUAACUACGUG
RNAcentral lists this ribosomal RNA (468 nucleotides) under uncultured bacterium. RNAcentral describes it as "partial 16S ribosomal RNA". It matches the Rfam family "Bacterial small subunit ribosomal RNA", at positions 28 to 507 of the family's 1533-position model. The record is from RNAcentral.